RNAcentral lists this ribosomal RNA (254 nucleotides) under uncultured bacterium. RNAcentral describes it as "partial 16S ribosomal RNA". It matches the Rfam family "Bacterial small subunit ribosomal RNA", at positions 524 to 776 of the family's 1533-position model. The record is from RNAcentral.
UACGUAGGGGGCAAGCGUUGUCCGGAUUCAUUGGGCGUAAAGAGCUCGUAGGCGGUUCAGUAAGUCGGGUGUGAAAGCUCCGAGCUCAACUCGGAGAGGCCACCCGAUACUGCUGUGACUUGAGUCCAGUAGAGGAGCGUGGAACUCCUGGUGUAGCGGUGAAAUGCGCAGAUAUCAGGAAGAACACCUGCAGCGAAGGCGGCGCUCUGGGCUGGAACUGACGCUGAGGAGCGAAAGCGUGGGUAGCAAACAGG